RNAcentral lists this non-coding RNA (45 nucleotides) under Trichobilharzia regenti. Lineage: Eukaryota; Metazoa; Platyhelminthes; Trematoda; Strigeidida; Schistosomatidae. The record is from RNAcentral.
AUCCAGAUGAAGAGUACCUAACAGGACGAAAUGCACAUCCUGGAU